ACAUGCCUACAACAUAGCAUUAAUGCACCAGAUCCCAUUAGAACUCCGCAGUUAAGCAUGCUCAGGCUAGAGUAGUACUGGGAUGGAUGACUGCCCAAUAAGUCCUGGUGUUUUACAUGCC
Picea glauca (white spruce) is the source of this 121-nucleotide non-coding RNA. The record is from Rfam. Lineage: Eukaryota; Viridiplantae; Streptophyta; Pinopsida; Pinales; Pinaceae.